CCUAAUACCCAAAUGACGUCUCUAGAAGACAUCUGAAAGAGAUUAAAGAUUUAUCGGUGAUGGAUGGGGAUGCGUCUGAUUAGCUUGUUGCGGGGUAACGGCCCACCAAGGCAACGAUCAGUAGGGGUUCUGAGAGGAAGGUCCCCCACACUUGGAACUGAGACACGGUCCAAACUCCUACGGGAGGCAGCAGUGAGGAAUAUUGGUCAAUGGGCGAGAGCCUGAACCAGCCAAGUAGCGUGCCAGGAUGACGGCCCUAUGGGUUGUAAACUGCUUUAUAGGAAUAAAGUGAGUCUCGUGAGGCUUUUUGCAUGUACCUUAUGAAUAAGGACCGGCUAAUUCCGUG
This 346-nucleotide ribosomal RNA is filed under the name uncultured bacterium. Its description in RNAcentral is "bacterial SSU rRNA". It matches the Rfam family "Bacterial small subunit ribosomal RNA", at positions 162 to 507 of the family's 1533-position model. The record is from RNAcentral.